Long non-coding RNA from Pyrus x bretschneideri (Chinese white pear), 694 nucleotides. RefSeq lists it as uncharacterized. Lineage: Eukaryota; Viridiplantae; Streptophyta; Magnoliopsida; Rosales; Rosaceae. The record is from RefSeq and is a predicted model, not a curated record. The transcript is spliced from 2 exons.
AGGCGAUGAAUUUAACUACUCAACUUCUAGAACAGCGUAGUGGGCAGACUAGACGUUUUAUUAAUUUAUAAAUCACUCAUUGUAGAUUUGCUUCUCGUUUUCUCUGUUGAGAAAGUAAAGUACAUGUUACACAUAUCUUUCAAGUGAAAAGUUUCUAGAAAGUUAUUGCAUUCAACGCCACAUUUUCAUAGAUUCGAAAUUUUGUAUAGACGCUAACAGAAAGUGGAUGGGCUACUGGAAAGGAAAGAGGCAGAUUUUGUGUUAUGGCUUGGGACAUAGGCAAGCUGAGAAUUGCGUAUGUAUACAGAGUUUCAACGAAUGAUAUUAAGAGUGGGCAUGCUUCUGCUCAUCCCUUUCUCAAUACAAUUGGUACCAAAGCCCUAUUCAAGUGGGCAUGUUUUGCCAGACUAUAGUAUUUGUAGGUGAAUAUGUUGGAGCUUUCUUACCAUCUGCAAGCAUAUGAAUGCGAACUUGUUCAUAAGGAGUUGUGGGAUUAUUGGAAGCCGAUUUUUGGUAACAUACUGGACUGAGAUGGAAAGCAUGCAUGCGUUUGUCUGGCGUUUAUAAUAGUGUUUGGUGGUUACUCCUCUCGACUGAUGUUUUUGAAGUUUUGUAUUGAGGUUCCUCGCCAGAGUUGACUAGCUGUAGUUCACACUUUUUGUGGUAAUUUAAUUUAAGCAACCAUAGUAAAAUU